RNAcentral lists this ribosomal RNA (230 nucleotides) under uncultured bacterium. RNAcentral's name for it is "partial 16S ribosomal RNA". It matches the Rfam family "Bacterial small subunit ribosomal RNA", at positions 561 to 790 of the family's 1533-position model. The record is from RNAcentral.
UAAAGCGCGCGUAGGUGGUUUGUUAAGUUGGAUGUGAAAUCCCCGGGCUCAACCUGGGAACUGCAUUCAAAACUGACUGACUAGAGUAUGGUAGAGGGUGGUGGAAUUUCCUGUGUAGCGGUGAAAUGCGUAGAUAUAGGAAGGAACACCAGUGGCGAAGGCGACCACCUGGACUGAUACUGACACUGAGGUGCGAAAGCGUGGGGAGCAAACAGGAUUAGAUACCCAGU